AGGGGGCUAAAAAUACAGAAAAAUCGGUUUCCGGAAGGGACCAAGCCAUUGGACUGGUUGUGCUGUUCUCCGUUUUCUUGAUUCCAUCUGGAUGGAUCCUGUCGCACCUUGAUGACUACAAGCGCAAGGCAGACUAAAACAUUUGCCUAAACUCUGUGGACCAGUCUGUGGGCUGAAAUGGAAGUUAUCAGCACAAAGCCGCGUAACCAGCUGAGUUGGUGGAACUACUCCAUGGAGUGUGCUGUCCUUACCACUUAUUUUUAUACUUAAUAAAACUAUUGUCAACCGGUUUGUUUUGUA
Long non-coding RNA from Nanorana parkeri, 300 nucleotides. RefSeq lists it as uncharacterized. The transcript has 2 exons. Lineage: Eukaryota; Metazoa; Chordata; Amphibia; Anura; Dicroglossidae. The record is from RefSeq and is a predicted model, not a curated record.